RNAcentral lists this ribosomal RNA (254 nucleotides) under uncultured bacterium. Its description in RNAcentral is "partial 16S ribosomal RNA". It matches the Rfam family "Bacterial small subunit ribosomal RNA", at positions 524 to 776 of the family's 1533-position model. The record is from RNAcentral.
UACGGAGGGUGCAAGCGUUUAAUCGGAAUUACUGGGCGUAAAGCGUGCGUAGGCGGUUCGUUAAGUCUGUUGUGAAAGCCCCGGGCUCAACCUGGGAAUGGCAAUGGAUACUGGCGAGCUAGAGUGUGUCAGAGGAUGGUGGAAUUCCCGGUGUAGCGGUGAAAUGCGUAGAGAUCGGGAGGAACAUCAGUGGCGAAGGCGGCCAUCUGGGACAACACUGACGCUGAGGCACGAAAGCGUGGGGAGCAAACAGG